UACAGAGGUCUCAAGCGUUGUUCGGAUUCAUUGGGCGUAAAGGGUGCGUAGGUGGCGGGGUAAGUCAGGUGUGAAAUCUCGGGGCUCAACCCCGAAACUGCACUUGAUACUGCUUUGCUCGAGUACUGGAGAGGAGAUUGGAAUUUACGGUGUAGCAGUGAAAUGCGUAGAUAUCGUAAGGAAGACCAGUGGCGAAGGCGAAUCUCUGGACAGUUACUGACACUGAGGCACGAAGGCCAGGGGAGCAAACGGG
RNAcentral lists this ribosomal RNA (253 nucleotides) under uncultured bacterium. RNAcentral's name for it is "partial 16S ribosomal RNA". It matches the Rfam family "Bacterial small subunit ribosomal RNA", at positions 524 to 776 of the family's 1533-position model. The record is from RNAcentral.